This 593-nucleotide ribosomal RNA is filed under the name Colletotrichum aotearoa. Its description in RNAcentral is "eukaryotic LSU rRNA". The stretch from base 231 to 384 matches the Rfam family "5.8S ribosomal RNA". The record is from RNAcentral. Lineage: Eukaryota; Fungi; Ascomycota; Sordariomycetes; Glomerellales; Glomerellaceae.
UAGAGGAAGUAAAAGUCGUAACAAGGUCUCCGUUGGUGAACCAGCGGAGGGAUCAUUACUGAGUUUACGCUCUACAACCCUUUGUGAACAUACCUAUAACUGUUGCUUCGGCGGGUAGGGUCUCCGCGACCCUCCCGGCCUCCCGCCCCCGGGCGGGUCGGCGCCCGCCGGAGGAUAACCAAACUCUGAUUUAACGACGUUUCUUCUGAGUGGUACAAGCAAAUAAUCAAAACUUUUAACAACGGAUCUCUUGGUUCUGGCAUCGAUGAAGAACGCAGCGAAAUGCGAUAAGUAAUGUGAAUUGCAGAAUUCAGUGAAUCAUCGAAUCUUUGAACGCACAUUGCGCCCGCCAGCAUUCUGGCGGGCAUGCCUGUUCGAGCGUCAUUUCAACCCUCAAGCUCUGCUUGGUGUUGGGGCCCUACAGCCGAUGUAGGCCCUCAAAGGUAGUGGCGGACCCUCCCGGAGCCUCCUUUGCGUAGUAACUUUACGUCUCGCACUGGGAUCCGGAGGGACUCUUGCCGUAAAACCUCCAAUUUUCCAAAGGUUGACCUCGGAUCAGGUAGGAAUACCCGCUGAACUUAAGCAUAUCAAUA